UUAGCCGUAAACCUAAGUAAUUCUUUUAACAAAAUUACUCGCCAGAGAACUACUAGCAAUCGCUUAAAACUCAAAGGACUUGGCGGUACUUUACACCUGU
RNAcentral lists this ribosomal RNA (100 nucleotides) under vertebrate environmental sample. RNAcentral describes it as "partial 12S ribosomal RNA". The record is from RNAcentral. Lineage: Eukaryota; Metazoa; Chordata.